This 295-nucleotide long non-coding RNA is filed under the name Helianthus annuus (common sunflower). Its description in RNAcentral is "hypothetical non coding rna". Lineage: Eukaryota; Viridiplantae; Streptophyta; Magnoliopsida; Asterales; Asteraceae. The record is from RNAcentral.
AUGCAACCAAACUCUAACCGUUAAAGUCGAACUAGCCGUUGCAAUUCUUACGUCACAGAAGUGACAGCCCUGCAGAUCAUCAUUAUAAAUAGGAGAUAGAGAUAGGAUCAAUUCGCAUUUAAAAUCAAAGAAACUCCCUUUAUAAUGUCGUCCGAAGAUCGAUCAGGUAUCUCUCUUCUUCCUUCUUCCUUCUCUUACUCUGUUUUUCUGCUUCUUUGUUUUUCUUCUGCAAAUAUGUUGCUCCGGAAUUCUCCUCAUAAGGAUCCUGAGAAGAACAGUCCCUUGAAAGGUCAAG